Molecule: ribosomal RNA, 253 nt
Filed under: uncultured bacterium
Lineage: Bacteria
Description: partial 16S ribosomal RNA
Rfam family: Bacterial small subunit ribosomal RNA
Source: RNAcentral
UACGUAGGGUGCGAGCAUUGUCCGGAAUUAUUGGGCGUAAAGGGCUCGUAGGCGGUUUGUCGCGUCGGGAGUGAAAACUCAGGGCUUAACCCUGAGCCUGCUUCCGAUACGGGCAGACUAGAGGUAUGCAGGGGAGAACGGAAUUCCUGGUGUAGCGGUGAAAUGCGCAGAUAUCAGGAGGAACACCGGUGGCGAAGGCGGCACUCUGGGCCGGAACUGACGCUGAGGAGCGAAAGCGUGGGGAGCGAACAGG